GGAUGUGUAUUUGAGAAAACUGGUCUGGAAAUCUAGAUAUGUGGGUUCUAUUCCCAUCUCUGCCA
This 65-nucleotide transfer RNA is filed under the name Pelodiscus sinensis (Chinese soft-shelled turtle). It matches the Rfam family "tRNA". From Rfam's summary of the family: Transfer RNA (tRNA) molecules are approximately 80 nucleotides in length. The record is from Rfam by way of RNAcentral. Lineage: Eukaryota; Metazoa; Chordata; Testudines; Trionychidae.